This 492-nucleotide ribosomal RNA is filed under the name uncultured bacterium. RNAcentral describes it as "partial 16S ribosomal RNA". It matches the Rfam family "Bacterial small subunit ribosomal RNA", at positions 29 to 507 of the family's 1533-position model. The record is from RNAcentral.
AGUGAACGCUGGCGGUAGGCCUAACACAUGCAAGUCGAACGGCAGCACAGUAAGAGCUUGCUCUUACGGGUGGCGAGUGGCGGACGGGUGAGGAAUACAUCGGAAUCUACUUUUUCGUGGGGGAUAACGUAGGGAAACUUACGCUAAUACCGCAUACGACCUACGGGUGAAAGCAGGGGAUCUUCGGACCUUGCGCGAUUGAAUGAGCCGAUGUCGGAUUAGCUAGUUGGCGGGGUAAAGGCCCACCAAGGCGACGAUCCGUAGCUGGUCUGAGAGGAUGAUCAGCCACACUGGAACUGAGACACGGUCCAGACUCCUACGGGAGGCAGCAGUGGGGAAUAUUGGACAAUGGGGGCAAGCCUGAUCCAGCCAUACCGCGUGAGUGAAGAAGGCCUUCGGGUUGUAAAGCCCUUUUGUUGGGAAAGAAAAGCAGCAGGUUAAUACCCCGCGGUUCUGACGGUACCCGAAGAAUAAGCACCGGCUAACUUCGUG